RNAcentral lists this long non-coding RNA (847 nucleotides) under Homo sapiens (human). RNAcentral's name for it is "non-protein coding LINC01611:10". The record is from RNAcentral. Lineage: Eukaryota; Metazoa; Chordata; Mammalia; Primates; Hominidae.
GCUGCUUUUGGUAAACAGUUACACAGGAUACUUCACAAGAUACGUGAAGAGAGUCUUUGAGAGUUGAAUUCUAUUUCCUCUUCCUUUGGAUGUGGGCUAUAUUUGUGAGAAUCAUGCCAUGACCAUGAGGACACUCAAGUAGCCCUAUUGAGAGGUCUACAUGGUGAAGAACUAAUGUCUCCUGCCAAGAGCCAGUGAGGAAUUGGAGGGCUCUUGUCAACAGCCACCGAUGUGCAUGGUAAAAUCAAAUCCCUAUUAGGAUAAAUGAUUGAGUGUUCCUGUAAAGAAUUGUUCCCCUGGUUCAAGCAACCAGAUUUCAUUCCCAGAUGAUCAAAAAUGGACUUGAUGAAAUGGAAAAGCACUGAUAGAAACAGCCGUCGAUAUAUAGCUAAGGAUGAUAACAAGCACAACAAGGACUUACAGCAUUUGCUUUGCACCAGACACCAUCUAAAACACUUCACAAAUAUUAACUCAAAGGAACCUAUCAUAAUGCUGUCAUUAUUCCCAGUUCACAGAUGGGGAGGUAAAAACCCAGAGCUUAAUAGCAUGUCCAAGAUCACAUAACUAUUCCACUGCUCAAAAUUACUCCUGAAGGGAUGAGGACACCAGGAUAUGCCACCGGACCACUGAAGGAAUGGUGAUGGUAUGAAGAAAGUAUUUUUAAUGAGCAGAGCCAUUGUUUGCUCUGCUCUGUCCUCACCCCUCAAGAGAAUUUCCCUUAUUAUUAUGAAAACUUUUUAUCUUAAAAGAUAUUACAUGUUAAUGGAACUGUCGUUUAACAAAUGUUUUAUAAGUGUACCAAUCAAGCACAUUGUCGAAAUAAAAGAUAUGAAAUAAGUGAAAAAAA